Long non-coding RNA from Cucumis sativus (cucumber), 603 nucleotides. RefSeq lists it as uncharacterized. The record is from RefSeq and is a predicted model, not a curated record. Lineage: Eukaryota; Viridiplantae; Streptophyta; Magnoliopsida; Cucurbitales; Cucurbitaceae. The transcript has 2 exons.
AAUGCAAUUCAACAAAAGACUUGAAAUGAUCAAUAGUGGAAGGUUGAUAGUUUAGGGUUUUUAUCGUUGGAAUGAGGAAUUGAAGAGCAGCUUCCACUGAAUUUGAAGCCAAUUCUUUCACUUUGUUGUGGCUCAUUCUUUCAUCAGCAGAAGAAGAAGCAUAUAAAUGAAGAAAAAAAAUGUGGAAGGUGGAAGGUGGGAAGAAGGAAGAAGGAAGGCUCACUAUGAUCGAGUUCCGUUGCACUAUAAAACUGAAGAGAAACCGAUUUAGCAGGUCCCGGUUCCCCAAAAUCAUGAACAAUCACUACAACUCCUUUAAUCCAACUCUCUUCUCCACCAUCAAUUCUUUGUUUAUUUCGAUUCAUCCUCGCCAUUGAUUUUUAUGAACAGCAGCAGCAGCAGCACAUAAUUAGGUGUUUGUGAAAAUGCCGAUCGCCAGAACAACCGAAAAAAAAUGUGAGUUCGUUUUCACUUCUUUACUUUUCGAAUCUCUGAUAUGAUUUUUCUUUCGUUUCUAAAUGAUUGGAUUGAAUAAAUUCAGAGAUGUUUAAUAGCGGAUUCUUUUCUUCCGUUUUCAGAAAUGAAUCUAAUCCUUUCCUUCCC